AAGAACCAUGAAAAUUAGGAAAGCUUUAUGCAAAAUUGAACUAUUUGUUUUCAUAACGUUAUAUUUGUGGGAGCCAGAAAUACCUUUGACGCCUCAUCAUGUUAACCCAUUCUCAUGAUAUCUUCAAGCAGGAAUUGAGCAAAGAUCCACCUCUUUCCGGCUUUCCCCAACUUUGAGGUUUCUUUUUCCAUCUGCAGAACAUUAAACCUUAGUUAGCAUUAACCCAAACCACAGUUGGAAAACCCAACUUAAAAAGAAAUAUAUGAAAGUUAUUUCUGCGUAUUCACAAAAGAACAAACCUUUUGUAUCUGAAGAUCUUUUGUCCUCACCUUCAUUACACAAUCUCAGUUUGAGGCAGGGUCAAACUUUAUAGGCUAUGUUAAUCCAUCCGUGAAUAUACAUCAAUAGUGAAGCUAUUAACACAGAAAAAAAUCAGUAAAAAUAUAUAAUGGUCCCUUAACACCUUUCUCGUUGAGCAUUGCAGUUUCUAUAAGUGCUUGCUGGUGUUCAAUCCUUCGACAACACCCCUAACAGCUUAAUCACCUUGGAGAGUUUAUCAUCGUAGUUAUGAAUAUCAGAGACCCAUCGUUUUGCAUGAUUGCAUCAUGACUCUAUCUGCAGGAAU
Molecule: long non-coding RNA, 625 nt
Filed under: Brassica napus (rape)
Lineage: Eukaryota; Viridiplantae; Streptophyta; Magnoliopsida; Brassicales; Brassicaceae
Description: long non-coding RNA (BNAP_LNC019060)
Source: RNAcentral